Molecule: long non-coding RNA, 613 nt
Organism: Plodia interpunctella (Indianmeal moth)
Lineage: Eukaryota; Metazoa; Arthropoda; Insecta; Lepidoptera; Pyralidae
Exons: 3
Source: RefSeq, a predicted model, not a curated record
UAAGCUUAACUGAUUCUGAACAAAAAGAAAGAUUAGCAGUUGGCACACGAAGUAAUAAGCGUUGUCGAUCACGCACAUUUCAAACCAACGCAACGGCCGACAACCCGCCGGUUUACUUUAUUGAGUAGCUUGCAACUCCCACGACACUUCACAUCCACAUGUUAUAAUAAUUAAAUAUCCUUUGUGUCUCAUUUAGUGGAUGGACACUAAGAUGAUUUAAAAAUUGGCAAGCAAAUAACAUGUGUAUCAACCAAGUAAACAAGUACAUACAUAGGUAUCACACAGGUACCAAAUUAUUUUUCAAAAAUCUUCGUGUGGGCGAUCUUCGUGGAGUCUGUGAAUUUUUCUUUUACGUACAAGUGGGUUCGUAGGGUUACAUAGGUUAUUAACAACAAACAAUUAUUAAAAUUUUGAGGUUUAUGGUUAAACUUAUUAAUGUGACCUACCUAACCGAACCUACAACAUAAAUAAAUUUAUGUAUAUACCUAUAUUUAUGUAUGUAUAGGUAUAAGUCAGUUGGUGUUGGUAACAUCAUUACAUUACUACUACCAAAUUUAAUGUGUGCAAAAUAUCUUUAUGCUCUGAUUAUUAUGUUAGUGCCAAAUAAACAAUA